RNAcentral lists this ribosomal RNA (488 nucleotides) under uncultured Actinomycetes bacterium. Its description in RNAcentral is "bacterial SSU rRNA". It matches the Rfam family "Bacterial small subunit ribosomal RNA", at positions 355 to 853 of the family's 1533-position model. Lineage: Bacteria; Bacillati; Actinomycetota; Actinomycetes. The record is from RNAcentral.
UGGGGAAUAUUGGACAAUGGGCGAAAGCCUGAUCCAGCAACGCCGCGUGAGGGAUGACGGCCUUCGGGUUGUAAACCUCUUUCAGCAGGGACGAAGCGCAAGUGACGGUACCUGCAGAAGAAGCACCGGCCAACUACGUGCCAGCAGCCGCGGUAAUACGUAGGGUGCGAGCGUUGUCCGGAAUUAUUGGGCGUAAAGGGCUCGUAGGCGGUUUGUCGCGUCAGGAGUGAAAACUCGGGGCUUAACCCCGAGCCUGCUUCUGAUACGGGCAGACUAGAGGUAUGCAGGGGAGAACGGAAUUCCUGGUGUAGCGGUGAAAUGCGCAGAUAUCAGGAGGAACACCGGUGGCGAAGGCGGUUCUCUGGGCAUUACCUGACGCUGAGGAGCGAAAGUGUGGGGAGCGAACAGGAUUAGAUACCCUGGUAGUCCACACCGUAAACGUUGGGCGCUAGGUGUGGGACUCAUUCCACGAGUUCCGUGCCGCUGCU